Molecule: long non-coding RNA, 115 nt
Organism: Etheostoma cragini (Arkansas darter)
Lineage: Eukaryota; Metazoa; Chordata; Actinopteri; Perciformes; Percidae
Exons: 3
Source: RefSeq, a predicted model, not a curated record
GUAGGGUCUCUAAUGUUUUAAACCAUCAACCUGCUAGGGACUGCAGAUAAAAAUGAGCCUGUUUGGCUAAAUCUGGCACAUAUACAUGUUGGACUCUGAGGGCAUACACAUGUUG